CUGACAUUUAAUGUGGAUAAGUGCAAGAUAAUGCAUCUUGGAUGUAAAAACCCAAGGGCAGAGUAUAGAUUAUUUGAUACCCUACUAACCUCAACAUCCGAGGAAAAGUAUUUAGGAGUAAUUAUAUCACAUGACUGAAAUGCUAGCAGAAUGCUUGGUUGUAUAGGAGAAGUAUUAGCACUAGAAAGACAGAAGUGCUCAUGCCAUUGUACAGAACACUGGUGAGACCUCACUUGGUAUUGUACGCAGUACUGGAGAACAUAUCUUCAGAAGGAUAUUGAUACUUUGGAGAGAGUUCAGAGAAGGGCUACUAAACUGGUUCAUGGAUUGCAGGAUAAAACUUACCAGGAAAGGUUAAAGAAUCUUAACAUGUAUAGCUUGGAGGAAAGACGAGUCGGGGGAUAGGAUAGAAACAUUUAAAUACAUAUAGGGAAUCAACACAGUAAAGGAGGAGACUAUAUUUAAAAGAAGAAAAC
Non-coding RNA from Pelobates cultripes (western spadefoot toad), 476 nucleotides. Lineage: Eukaryota; Metazoa; Chordata; Amphibia; Anura; Pelobatidae. The record is from the annotation of a GenBank genome assembly.